GACGAACGCUGGCGGCGUGCCUAAUACAUGCAAGUCGAACGGACAGGCCCUGCUCUUGUUGGGUGCUUGUGUGGCGAACGGGUGAGUAACACGUGAGUAUCCCCUCCUUGUCUUUGGGAUAACUCCUCGAAACUGGGGCUAAUACCCGAUAGGAGCUCCUGCUGCAUGGUGGGGGUUGGAAAGUUUCGGCGGUUGGGGCUGGUCUCGCGGCUUCUCCGCUUGUUGGUGGGGUUGUGGCUUACCAAGGGUUUGACGGGUAGCCGGCCUGGGAGGGUAACCGGGGACAUUGGGACUGGGAUACGGCCCAGACUCGUACGGGAGGCAGCGGUGGGAAGUAUUGCGGAAUGGGCGGGAGCAUGAUACGGCGACGCCGCGUGCGGGAUGACGGCCUUCGGGUUGUGAACCGCUUUGGCCGGUGACGAGGCGUGAGUGACGGUAAUGGGUAAAGAAGCACCGGCUAACUACGUG
Molecule: ribosomal RNA, 468 nt
Filed under: uncultured bacterium
Lineage: Bacteria
Description: partial 16S ribosomal RNA
Rfam family: Bacterial small subunit ribosomal RNA
Source: RNAcentral